RNAcentral lists this ribosomal RNA (411 nucleotides) under uncultured microorganism. RNAcentral describes it as "bacterial SSU rRNA". It matches the Rfam family "Archaeal small subunit ribosomal RNA", at positions 330 to 742 of the family's 1478-position model. The record is from RNAcentral.
GCGCAGCAGGCGCGAAACCUCCGCAAUACACGAAAGUGUGACGGGGCCAUCCCGAGUGCCGUCCGCUGAGGACGGCUUUUCCCCAGUGUACACAGCUGGGGGAAUAAGGAGAGGGCAAGCCUGGUGUCAGCCGCCGCGGUAAUACCAGCUCUCCGAGUGGUGGGGACGCUUAUUGGGCCUAAAGCAUCCGUAGCCGGCUGGGCAAGUCCUCCGUUAAAUCCAACGAUUCAAUCGUUGGGCUGCGGGGGAGUACUGUCCAGCUUGGGGGCGGGAGAGGCCGACGGUAUUCCCGGGGUAGGGGUGAAAUCCUAUAAUCCCGGGAGGACCACCAGUGGCGAAGGCUGUCGGCUAGAACGCGCCCGACGGUGAGGGAUGAAAGCUGGGGGAGCGAACCGGAUUAGAUACCCCGGU